GAUGAACGCUGGCGGCGUGCCUAAUACAUGCAAGUCGAGCGAACAGACGAGGAGCUUGCUCCUCUGACGUUAGCGGCGGACGGGUGAGUAACACGUGGAUAACCUACCUAUAAGACUGGGAUAACUUCGGGAAACCGGAGCUAAUACCGGAUAAUAUUUUGAACCGCAUGGUUCAAUAGUAAAAGACGGUUUUGCUGUCACUUAUAGAUGGAUCCGCGCUGCAUUAGCUAGUUGGUAAGGUAACGGCUUACCAAGGCAACGAUGCGUAGCCGACCUGAGAGGGUGAUCGGCCACACUGGAACUGAGACACGGUCCAGACUCCUACGGGAGGCAGCAGUAGGGAAUCUUCCGCAAUGGGCGAAAGCCUGACGGAGCAACGCCGCGUGAGUGAUGAAGGUCUUCGGAUCGUAAAACUCUGUUAUUAGGGAAGAACAAAUGUGUAAGUAACUAUGCACGUCUUGACGGUACCUAAUCAGAAAGCCACGGCUAACUACGUG
RNAcentral lists this ribosomal RNA (497 nucleotides) under uncultured bacterium. Its description in RNAcentral is "partial 16S ribosomal RNA". It matches the Rfam family "Bacterial small subunit ribosomal RNA", at positions 28 to 507 of the family's 1533-position model. The record is from RNAcentral.